This 293-nucleotide ribosomal RNA is filed under the name Staphylococcus epidermidis. Its description in RNAcentral is "partial 16S ribosomal RNA". It matches the Rfam family "Bacterial small subunit ribosomal RNA", at positions 1248 to 1533 of the family's 1533-position model. The record is from RNAcentral. Lineage: Bacteria; Bacillati; Bacillota; Bacilli; Caryophanales; Staphylococcaceae.
AGCGAAACCGCGAGGUCAAGCAAAUCCCAUAAAGUUGUUCUCAGUUCGGAUUGUAGUCUGCAACUCGACUAUAUGAAGCUGGAAUCGCUAGUAAUCGUAGAUCAGCAUGCUACGGUGAAUACGUUCCCGGGUCUUGUACACACCGCCCGUCACACCACGAGAGUUUGUAACACCCGAAGCCGGUGGAGUAACCAUUUGGAGCUAGCCGUCGAAGGUGGGACAAAUGAUUGGGGUGAAGUCGUAACAAGGUAGCCGUAUCGGAAGGUGCGGCUGGAUCACCUCCUUUCUAAGGA